Molecule: non-coding RNA, 46 nt
Organism: Sus scrofa (pig)
Lineage: Eukaryota; Metazoa; Chordata; Mammalia; Artiodactyla; Suidae
Source: Rfam
CCAAAGGCUCUUUUCAGAGCCACUCUCAGUUUCCAAGAAAGAGCUU